This 863-nucleotide ribosomal RNA is filed under the name uncultured Neocallimastigales. RNAcentral describes it as "partial large subunit ribosomal RNA". It matches the Rfam family "Eukaryotic large subunit ribosomal RNA", at positions 22 to 645 of the family's 3401-position model. Lineage: Eukaryota; Fungi; Neocallimastigomycota; Neocallimastigomycetes; Neocallimastigales. The record is from RNAcentral.
AUAUCAGUCAUGCAUAGCAUAUCAAUAAGCGGAGGAAAAGAAACUAACAAGGAUUCCCCUAGUAACGGCGAGUGAAGCGGGAAGAGCUCAAAUUUGAAAUCUUAAAGGGUUUCCCUUUACGAAUUGUAGUUUAAAGAAGUGUUUUCUGUUGAGGUUUUGGUAAAAGUUCUUUGGAAUAGGACAUCAUAGAGGGUGAGAAUCCCGUAUUUGACCUUUACUUUCAACUUUGUGAUACACUUUCAAAGAGUCGGAUUGUUUGGGAAUGCAGUCCAAAAUGGGUGGUAAAUUUCAUCUAAAGCUAAAUAUUGGCGAGAGACCGAUAGCGAACAAGUACCGUGAGGGAAAGAUGAAAAGAACUUUGAAAAGAGAGUUAAACAGUACGUGAAAUUGUCAAAAGGGAAGCGUUUGACACCAGUGUUGUUUUUCUGAAAAUCAAUUAAAGAACUGUUUAUGCUAAGUUGUUUAGACUUUAUCAGCUAACUGUUUAGUUUUGAGCUUUUCUUUAAUGCACUUUUCAGUUAACAAGUCAACAUCAAUUUCUUUUGCUGUAAAAAAGCUUGAGGAAGGUGGCUUGAGAUUCGUCUUAAGUGUUUAUAGCCUCUUGCCUAUGCAGUCGGAGAGAUUGAGGUCUGCAGCGUAGAUCCUCCGGGGCUAAAUGCAUUUGUGCUAAGUUAUAGCAUUUUAUAGACAACUUGUUGACUAUGAUUUGUCUUGUAGCUUACUCGCUUAUGUUAUUUUACCUACGCUUAGGAUGUUGACGCGCGUGUGUGCGUGAGUCUAUACAUGACUCUGUGCAUAUCAAUAAGCGGAGGAAAAGGAGGUUGCAUACCUACGCUUAGGAUGUUGAUCUCUCACAGUCGAGC